This 909-nucleotide long non-coding RNA is filed under the name Lonchura striata (white-rumped munia). RNAcentral's name for it is "domestica (Bengalese finch) lncRNA (ENSLSDG00000007758.1)". The record is from RNAcentral. Lineage: Eukaryota; Metazoa; Chordata; Aves; Passeriformes; Estrildidae.
GCAUCCUCACACACAGCUCCUAAACCGGGCUUAGGCAGGAGUUUAGACAGAGAUCAGCGGCAUUUAGUGCCUCCAAACCGCUACACAGCUGCCACUUCGCACCGAAGCCACUUUUGUUUCCCGGCGUUAAACAUCUCGGGGCCCCCAGAACUCGGCCUGAGCAGGAAUGGACGAGCACGUCCCCGCGAAAGCCUUGACCUGACCCGCAGGAGCGGCUGCAGGAAGCGCGGCUGCAGGAAGCACGGCUGAGAGCCCAGCCCGGCCCCUCAGUGCCGCCCGGCCCUGGGGCAGCCCCGGCGCUCUCUGCCUCAGCGCGGCUCCGCCGUCCACCCGCGCGGGGUCACGCGCGCUGUUCUCGCCAAUAGGCAGCGGCGGCUGGAGCGCGUGGGUCUCGCGGGAGCGCGGGGCGGUAUUUAAUGGCCGGCGAGGCGCCGCUCUGCCUUUCUGUUCGCCGGCCGAGGGCGCGUGUGUCCGAGGUGCCGCCGAUGGGCGGGAGGCCGAGCGCGGCAGGCCGGGGCAGGCGGGAGCGCUGGCGAUCCAUGGGUGAGGGGCACACCGACAUCAUCACCCCUCCUACAGCCUGGGGCUGAGGCCUCACAUAGCAACCUCAUGCUUGCAAUGUUUUAGACAUGGAUAAUCACACCUAAAUGUGAAGCAGUACUUGGGACUUCUUAGGACUAAAUAAUGCCUUCUAAUGGAAGGUAAGUGUGCUGUCGUCUAAUGACAAUUGUCAAUCAUUUUUAAUAUUGCUCUUUAAUAAUUUACAAAUUUCAAGCAAAUUGUAGUAUCUCUUGUUGAUAAGAAAACAAUAUACUAAAAUCUACUCCCCUUUUAUGCUUUGCCCUCUUAAGUCUGGCAGUGUCUUAAGUGGCCAAUACUGAGGGGAAUAAAAGUUCUCUCGCAAACCCA